Mesocricetus auratus (golden hamster) is the source of this 1093-nucleotide long non-coding RNA. RefSeq lists it as uncharacterized. The record is from RefSeq and is a predicted model, not a curated record. NCBI's taxonomy places the organism in Eukaryota, Metazoa, Chordata, Mammalia, Rodentia, Cricetidae. The transcript has 3 exons.
UGUGUGUGUUUGCCGCAUGAAUAGGGGUGCCCCAGAGGCCAGAAGACAGUGUUAGCUCCUCUGGAGCUGGAGUUACGGGGGGGUUAAAAUGCCUGAGGUGGAUGCUCUGGAAGAGAAACCAAGCCCUCCUAAACCGCUCAGCAUCUCUCAGGUCCAACAAAAAAUUGAUCUGCUCAGUUUGGAACACUCAUCAUGUCUUCCCCAGAGUCCUGUUGCCUAGCGCUAGAAUGUAUUUCACUUUCUUUCCUGUGUCAAAGUGAUUCUGUCUAAUUCAUCUUUGUUGACAACCCAACCACUGUAUUCUCUGCCAUCUCAUCACCAUUAUUGAACUGCCAGGACUGCAACCUGUGAGCUAGUCUAAUAUACAAUAUAUUAUCAAAUAUACAUAUCGAAUAUAUAUUACAUACUAUUAUAUAUUAUUACAUAUAUUAGUCAUUUUCACUUGGAGAACUCUGGCUAAUACAAGCAAGAACUCUCCAGUGGUACGCCUCUUGAAGUUGGCACCAUGGGAGGACCUUUCUGCUGGUGCUGCUGCCUUUGGGUCACCCAAGUUCCUAUGUGUAACUCCAUAGAUUCACCUGAAAACAUGUGUGGAGGAGGUGGUAGGGUCAGGAAGGAGCAAGAAAUUAUGAUCUCCAUCAAUCUAUGUCUGCAGUUAGAAAGUGCAUUUAUUUACUGAUGCAUCCUGUGAACACAGCUUGACCAGUCCCAAAUGUCACCGUAUUGAUUCUCAUUCAUUUAAACAGGAGAGCCUGCUCUAAUGUUUCGUUCACUGACUUUGGUACCAUGUUGAAGUUCAAAUUGAAGGACACUUGUGUGGGUUUUCAAAUCUUCUGGAAGAUUGGAGAGAGCUAUAUUCCAAAAAUCACAGAGCAUAUUGAGCAACUAUUUCCAAGAGCUGACCUCAAGUCCUUGAAGCUGCCGUGCAGCUGAGCACAAACUUGAGAACUUGAGGCAAAAUUUCAUCACAGCAAAAUCCCAGGAUAUUGGAGUCUGUGUCUCUUGAGACACUGUUAUUGCAAAACAUUCCUCCACAUUCCAAAUGUCUAUGUUAAAAGCCUAACAAGUAUUAAAUGAUCUGAGCAACCUCACA